CAGUCGCCACGGUAAUACGGAGGGGGCUAGCGUUGUUCGGAAUUACUGGGCGUAAAGCGCACGUAGGCGGCUUGGUAAGUUAGAGGUGAAAGCCCGGAGCUCAACUCCGGAAUUGCCUUUAAGACUGCCGAGCUAGUAGGUGAGAGAGGUAAGUGGAAUUCCGGGUGUAGAGGUGAAAUUCGUAGAUAUUCGGAAGAAUACCAGUGGCGAAGGCGGCUUACUGGCUCAUUCUAGACGCUGAGGUGCGAAAGCGUGGGGAGCAAACAGGAUUAGAUACCCGUGUAGUCCCUGUCUCUUAUAC
Molecule: ribosomal RNA, 301 nt
Filed under: uncultured bacterium
Lineage: Bacteria
Description: partial 16S ribosomal RNA
Rfam family: Bacterial small subunit ribosomal RNA
Source: RNAcentral